AUUGAACGCUUGCGGCAGGCUUAACACAUGCAAGUCGAGCGGUAGCACAAGAGAGCUUGCUCUCUGGGUGACGAGCGGCGGACGGGUGAGUAAUGUCUGGGAAACUGCCUGAUGGAGGGGGAUAACUACUGGAAACGGUAGCUAAUACCGCAUAACGUCGCAAGACCAAAGAGGGGGACCUUCGGGCCUCUUGCCAUCAGAUGUGCCCAGAUGGGAUUAGCUAGUAGGUGGGGUAAUGGCUCACCUAGGCGACGAUCCCUAGCUGGUCUGAGAGGAUGACCAGCCACACUGGAACUGAGACACGGUCCAGACUCCUACGGGAGGCAGCAGUGGGGAAUACUGCACAAUGGGCGCAAGCCUGAUGCAGCCAUGCCGCGUGUGUGAAGAAGGCCUUCGGGUUGUAAAGCACUUUCAGCGAGGAGGAAGGUGGUGAACUUAAUACGUUCAUCAAUUGACGUUACUCGCAGAAGAAGCACCGGCUAACUCCGUG
RNAcentral lists this ribosomal RNA (490 nucleotides) under uncultured bacterium. RNAcentral's name for it is "partial 16S ribosomal RNA". It matches the Rfam family "Bacterial small subunit ribosomal RNA", at positions 30 to 507 of the family's 1533-position model. The record is from RNAcentral.